This 88-nucleotide ribosomal RNA is filed under the name Pseudomonas aeruginosa. The record is from RNAcentral. Lineage: Bacteria; Pseudomonadati; Pseudomonadota; Gammaproteobacteria; Pseudomonadales; Pseudomonadaceae.
CUGAUCCCGUCCCGAACUCAGAAGUGAAACGACGCAUCGCCGAUGGUAGUGUGGGGUCUCCCCAUGUGAGAGUAGGUCAUCGUCAAGC